GCUGUGGUUGUUCAAUGGUAGAAUUCUUAUCUCCCAUGCAGGAGACCCAGGUUCGAUUCCUGGCCAAUGCA
RNAcentral lists this transfer RNA (71 nucleotides) under Loxodonta africana (African savanna elephant). It matches the Rfam family "tRNA". From Rfam's summary of the family: Transfer RNA (tRNA) molecules are approximately 80 nucleotides in length. Their secondary structure includes four short double-helical elements and three loops (D, anti-codon, and T loops). Lineage: Eukaryota; Metazoa; Chordata; Mammalia; Proboscidea; Elephantidae. The record is from Rfam by way of RNAcentral.